GAUGAACGCUAGCGGCAGGCCUAACACAUGCAAGUUGAGGGGUAGCAGGAUUAAGCUUGCUUAAUUGCUGACGACCGGCGCACGGGUGCGUAACGCGUAUGCAACCUACCUUAUACUGGGGUAUAGCCCGGAGAAAUUCGGAUUAAUCCCCCAUAGUACUAAUGAAUCGCAUGGUUUAUUAGUUAAAGCAUUGCGGUAUAAGAUGGGCAUGCGUCCUAUUAGCUAGAUGGUGAGGUAACGGCUCACCAUGGCUACGAUAGGUAGGGGGCCUGAGAGGGUGGUCCCCCACACUGGUACUGAGACACGGACCAGACUCCUACGGGAGGCAGCAGUGAGGAAUAUUGGUCAAUGGGCGCAAGCCUGAACCAGCCAUGCCGCGUGCAGGAAGAAUGCCCUAUGGGUUGCAAACUGCUUUUAUUUGGGAAUAAACCUCUUUACGUGUAGAGAGCUGAAGGUACCAAAUGAAUAAGCACCGGCUAACUCCGUGCCAGCCGCCGCGGUAA
RNAcentral lists this ribosomal RNA (503 nucleotides) under uncultured bacterium. RNAcentral's name for it is "partial 16S ribosomal RNA". It matches the Rfam family "Bacterial small subunit ribosomal RNA", at positions 28 to 523 of the family's 1533-position model. The record is from RNAcentral.